UUUCUGACUUCUGAGUCACAGCAAGAACCCUCCAGAAAUCCUCUCCCAGUGAAUGAUUAUGAGACACAAUCAUUUUGAAGCAGCCGCUGAAUAAGGGCGUGUGAAAGCAGACUGGAUCAGACCCCAGGAGACUAGAGUAUCUGGAAUGGAGGGAAAGACUACUCACUGACAGAGCCUCCACUGGAAUGCCCUGUGUGUCUCCAACUCAUCUUCGAGAUGGACAAGUAAGAAAAAGCUACCAUCAGCUAUCUGUAGUAGACCCAGUUGGUGGAAGAUUGAAUAUAUGGUAGCAGAAAUCUCCAUCGACCGUUCAUGGGAAACCAUUUCUGGUUUCAAAGAGGGAAGAGUAGGACCGGGAGGAAGGCUUUCUUCACAGAAACCAAAUCUCCCAAGCAAAUCUGAAUAGAUGGCUCCUUAUAUAAAUUGCUUCUCAUUUGGCAUUGCCUGUGACUAUUAGGCAAAAUAGACAACAAAGCCCCUCUUCGCCAUAUUUGUAAGCUUUCCAAUAAUGCUACACUGUGGUUGAUGCUGCCAUUUUUUCCCACUCGCUCCGAUUUCCCUCACUUCCAACCAAAGAAGCCUAUCUCUAUUCAAAAUAUUCCACAACAGGCAAUCAAGCCUGAUAUUUGCAUCUACUGGGGAACAAAACAGACAGUGGAUAACUGUGGGAAGCCAUGACGUGAUGGAGCAUCAGCAUAUUGUACUGGACACCCAGCUUCCAGCUCUGCAGCUUCAGGGUCCCAGGGCUCUACGUGAGGCUGGUCAGGCACACAGCACAGAGGGGAGCCCUGGGCUUGGCAGGACAAGACAGUUUACUCAGGGAGAGCUGAAGACUGCCUGCAUGUGCUCACCAGCCUGCCCAGGACGACUGCGGCUCCAUCUUCCUCGGUAGGGACUAAUGUCCCUGAAGUGGGAACAUCUAGAGAUGCUUUGGGCCAGAGAGAAAAGAAGUAAUAGAUAUAAGGCUGUGAUUUCUUCAGCAACCUCCUUCAGUCACAGAGGGUUCAGGGGGUUCUAAACAGGCUGUUCAGAACCAUCUCACUGUGAGUCACAGAUUCAACCCACCUUGUUCUCUGUUGUCACUUCUGCCAAAUUCGGGAGCACCCAAAGAGUCGUUCAAUCUCAGCCCAAGAUCUUUACACAAGAAGGGGAGUUUGUGGCUCUGAACUACAAAUACUUUGCAAGUAAUCUGAUUAUUUUCUUUCUGGAUUUAGGAGGCAUCCCAGUGGGGAGACAUUGCAAGUGAUUUUUCAAAUUUCAGCAGCCUCCAGGAUGGACCGUUUUUUAUGAACUUGCAGAAAGCAGCCAACACUGUCCAUUCUCACCAUCUCAACUGUGAGGCCAGGAGACUCAAAGGUCCACUGCUCAAGAUGUGUGCUCAAGAUGUCCAUAGUAAGAGGAACAACAAAAACUAUAAGAACAAAACCUCAGAAUUUGUACCCCAGAUUCACCUGCUGCAGGGGUUGGGGGAGACCCACAGACCCUAAACUGAAAAGAAGAUUAGAAACUGUGGGGAGCAUAAAUGAAGUAUGGAAAGGAAAUGGAUAAUUGUGUUACAGGAAAAACCAUCUCGGACUGCAUUCACUGAAUGUUUUCAAUCCCCAAUUCUAAAAUCGAUUCUCACAUUCAAAUUUUAGCAGAUUAGAGGAAAAAAAAAAAAAAGCCAGCAUUUUCUUUUAAUCUCAUUAUUCUUCUUUUUACUUUAAACUUUUUUAAAUGAAUUAGAUUUUUUAUUAGAGUAUAGCUGAUUUCCAGUGUCAAUUUCUGCUGUAUACAUAGUGACCCAGUUAUAUAUACAUAUAUAUACAUUCUUUUUCUCAUAUCAUCUACCAUCAUGUUCUAUGCCCAAUCUUUUUUCUUUAAACUUUUAAUAAAAUUCAAAUUAUGAAAA
RNAcentral lists this long non-coding RNA (1891 nucleotides) under Sus scrofa (pig). RNAcentral's name for it is "lncRNA (ENSSSCG00050044670.1)". The record is from RNAcentral. Lineage: Eukaryota; Metazoa; Chordata; Mammalia; Artiodactyla; Suidae.